Molecule: unclassified non-coding RNA, 268 nt
Filed under: fungal sp.
Lineage: Eukaryota; Fungi
Description: partial internal transcribed spacer region
Rfam family: Eukaryotic small subunit ribosomal RNA (bases 1-46)
Source: RNAcentral
AAGUCGUAACAAGGUUUCCGUAGGUGAACCUGCGGAAGGAUCAUUACCAAAUCUUUGUGUCCUGACCGAAAGGUCUUGAUACUUUAACCCUUUGUGAACUUAAAACCUUAUACGCUUCGGUAGCAAGCUAGGUGGGGUUUUAACCUAUCUAGUUGUUAGCCUGCCGUUAGCACCUUAAAAACACUUUUUACACAUUCAAAAUAUGUCUAUAUAAAAGUAUAUUUUCGAAUGAAAAUCAAAACUUUCAACAACGGAUCUCUUGGUUCUC